RNAcentral lists this ribosomal RNA (443 nucleotides) under uncultured bacterium. Its description in RNAcentral is "bacterial SSU rRNA". It matches the Rfam family "Bacterial small subunit ribosomal RNA", at positions 338 to 795 of the family's 1533-position model. The record is from RNAcentral.
CCUACGGGUGGCAGCAGUGGGGAAUUUUCCGCAAUGGGCGAAAGCCUGACGGAGCAAUCUCGCGUGAGGGAUGACUGCCUAUGGGUUGUAAACCUCUUUUUUCAGGGAGGAAUAAAUGACGUGUACCUGAAGAAUAAGCAUCGGCUAACUCCGUGCCAGCAGCCGCGGUAAUACGGAGGAUGCAAGUGUUAUCCGGAAUCACUGGGCGUAAAGCGUCUGUAGGUGGUUUAAUAAGUCAACUGUUAAAUCUUGAGGCUCAACUUCAAAAUCGCAGUCGAAACUAUUAGACUAGAGUAUAGUAGGGGUAAAGGGAAUUUCCAGUGGAGCGGUGAAAUGCGUAGAGAUUGGAAAGAACACCGAUGGCGAAGGCACUUUACUGGGCUAUUACUGACACUCAGAGACGAAAGCUAGGGUAGCAAAUGGGAUUAGAUACCCUUGUAGUC